GAGACGUCGCUGCCGUGAU
RNAcentral lists this small nuclear RNA (19 nucleotides) under Arabidopsis thaliana (thale cress). RNAcentral describes it as "snRNA_11539". Lineage: Eukaryota; Viridiplantae; Streptophyta; Magnoliopsida; Brassicales; Brassicaceae. The record is from RNAcentral.